Molecule: transfer-messenger RNA, 364 nt
Filed under: Planctomycetota
Lineage: Bacteria; Pseudomonadati
Also listed under: 1 other name
Description: JACCZE01 sp013816415 Standard tmRNA
Rfam family: transfer-messenger RNA
About the family: Bacterial tmRNA, also known as 10Sa RNA or SsrA, is named for its dual tRNA and mRNA-like properties. Its role is to liberate the mRNA from a stalled ribosome.
Source: RNAcentral
GGGGGCGACCAGGUCUUGACGGAGUUGCAACGGCGAUUGCCGCGUGUCGUGGGGCUGGAGGCCACGUAAAUAACCAGCAAAAAAAUAAGUGCCGACGAUCACGUCGAGUACGCUCUCGCUGCUUAAUUAAAAACUAAGCGACGAGCGGAGCCUCAUCAGUGCCGAUGCUGAUGGGGGUCUCCAUAAUACUCACCGGCUGGCUGACGGAGCCGCUCGAUUACCGUCAGCGAGACUCGUCGAGCUGGUCUGUAGCUGCGGGUGGCACUCCCCGAGGUUAUGGACGAGAAAAUAACGAAUGCCUACACAUGUAGACGCGUUGCGCGUACACCUUCGGACCCGGGUUCGAUUCCCGGCGCCUCCACCA